UCUUGCUUUCCGUCCCAUCCUCUUUCCUUCGUGUAUUUCUUCUAUGGAAGAGUCGCUUAUUCUUUUGAGUUAAGGGUUUUGUUCUCGCCUUACAGAUUUUCAGCCUGUCGUCUAGUAUCUCCUUUUUCAGAUUCAUCACAGUAAAUAUGACUGAGGGCUUCAACAAUCUCCCAGGUAUACAGACUUACCACAGACCCUGAACCAGGAGAGAAGCUGAAAAACACACACAGUAACUCCUGCUUAAUGAAGGUGUUCUGCUAGAUCACUGCCUCA
Lacerta agilis (Sand lizard) is the source of this 273-nucleotide long non-coding RNA. RefSeq lists it as uncharacterized. The record is from RefSeq and is a predicted model, not a curated record. Lineage: Eukaryota; Metazoa; Chordata; Lepidosauria; Squamata; Lacertidae. The transcript has 3 exons.